CGAAGUGUAGCUUAAAUAAAGCAUUUCGCUUACACCGAAAAAAUAUCUGUGAAACCCAGAUCCCUUCGAG
Molecule: transfer RNA, 70 nt
Filed under: Cochranella sp. AGG507
Lineage: Eukaryota; Metazoa; Chordata; Amphibia; Anura; Centrolenidae
Description: tRNA-Val
Rfam family: tRNA
About the family: Transfer RNA (tRNA) molecules are approximately 80 nucleotides in length. Their secondary structure includes four short double-helical elements and three loops (D, anti-codon, and T loops).
Source: RNAcentral